CCUUGCUCUUGUCAUGCUUUUCCACAGGCUUUCUUGAACUCGCUUUUCUUCUCUCUGUGCAGCUAUAGAGAUUACUGAACUUUCCCCAGAGGCAUAUGUACGUAUAGAAGUAUAUGGAAGUAGUUUAAGAAAGUCUGUGGAAGAACAUGGCAAGCAAGG
Molecule: microRNA precursor, 159 nt
Filed under: Fragaria vesca subsp. vesca
Lineage: Eukaryota; Viridiplantae; Streptophyta; Magnoliopsida; Rosales; Rosaceae
Description: Fragaria vesca miR396e stem-loop (fve-MIR396e)
Gene: fve-MIR396e
Source: miRBase by way of RNAcentral